GACGAACGCUGGCGGCGUGCUUAACACAUGCAAGUCGAACGGACAGGCCCUGCUUUUGUUGGUUGCUCGAUUGGCGAACGGGUGAGUAACACGUGAGUAACCUGCCCUUGACUUUGGGAUAACUUCUGGAAACUGGGGCUCAUACCGGGUAUGAGCUCCUGCUGCAUGGUGUGGGUUGGAAAGUUUCGGCGGUUGUGGAUGGACUCGCUGCUUAUCCGCUUGUUGGUGGGGUAGUGGCUUACCAAGGCUUUGACGGGUAGCCGGCCUGGGAGGGUGACCGGCGACAUUGGGACUGAGAGACGGCCCAGAAUGCUAGGGGAGGCAGCAGUGGGGAAUAUUGCAGAAUGGGGGGAAGCCUGAUGCAGCAACGCCGGGUGCGGGAUGACGGGUUUCGGGUUGUAAACCGAUGUCGCAGGUGAUGAAGAGUGAGUGACGGUAAUGGGUAAAGAAGCACCGGCUAACUACGUG
This 468-nucleotide ribosomal RNA is filed under the name uncultured bacterium. RNAcentral describes it as "partial 16S ribosomal RNA". It matches the Rfam family "Bacterial small subunit ribosomal RNA", at positions 28 to 507 of the family's 1533-position model. The record is from RNAcentral.